UGUGGACAUCAUUGGGAAUGGAGGGAAAUAACUGACUGUAUGGUCGUUGCUUUUCAAGUUUCAAACUGACAUUCCAGGCGGGCUGUGCCUGAGCCAGCAUCUGCUUUCAGAUCUUCACAGCCUGGUCCUGGGAAGGUGGAGCCCUCAGCUUCUCCCUGGUUGGAGGCACCAUCUUGCUGUUCCUUCGCCUUGGAAGCAACCGUCUCAAAAAGAAGACAGCCAGGAGCUGGCACUGGUUCUGGAAUGCCGUCCUAUCCACAGAACUAUCCCUCAUCUCUCUGUGCCAAGCACUUUCACAGAUGGGCAAAGUGAGGCGCUGGAGGGGAUAGGACACGGCUGAAGGCUGAGGUGUGCAGCCUCCAGCAUCUCUCUUCUUUACGAACUGGAUCCCUACAAGGAGAUUCUCAAGCUGGGACAAUGAUAAACUCUGGAAAUACUGCAAGAAGCAACCAUUAAGAGAGUGAAAAGGCAAGCCACAGAGUGGGAGAAGAUAUUUGCAGAUCAUAAAACUGAUAAGAGACUUGUAUCCAGAAUACAUUAAAAAUUUCCAUGAAUCAUUAAUAACCCAAUAGAAAAAAAUGAGCCAAAGACUUGGAUAGGCACUUCACAAAGAAGUUAUAUAGUUUACCAGUAAAUAUGAGAAGCAGAGCGCACAGUGAAAUCCCAAGGAGACACAUCUACACGCCUGCCAGAGUGGCUGAAAAUGAACAGACUAAUAAUCUAAGUGCUGGCGAGGAUAUGGGGCAAAUACACCUGCCAUCCACUGGCUAGUGGGGGCAUAAAGUGGUGCCAUCACUUUGGAAAAUUGUUUGGCAGUAUUGAGUGCUCGUGUUGUAAUACUCCCAUGGCUCAGCAUUUCUACCCCUCUGUAUACACCCAACUGAAACAUGUACUUAUUAACACUGAAGGCGCGUACAGAGCUGCUCAUAACCAUCCAGUUAUAGUAGCCAAAGACUGGAAACAACAGUGGAAUGGAUUACUAUAUUGUGGUGUCCUUAACAGUGAAACUGAACAAUCGAAUGCAGCACACGGUAACACAGAACUGAAAUCUUCAUGCUCAGUGAAAGAAGCCAGACAACCAAGAGGGUACCAUGAAUGGUUCUACAUACACCAAGUUCAAGAACAGACAAAGCUAAUGAAGAUUGAAGUCCAGACGGUAGUUAUUUGGGGAUGUAUCUGGAAAGAGGCACAAGGGGUUCUGAGGUGCAGCUAAUGUCCUGUUUCUUGAUCUGGGCAGUGAUUUCAUAGGUUUGGACACUGUGAACAUCUAUUGAGCUCUUAUGCUUAUCAUUCGUGCACUUUUCU
Molecule: long non-coding RNA, 1305 nt
Organism: Eubalaena glacialis (North Atlantic right whale)
Lineage: Eukaryota; Metazoa; Chordata; Mammalia; Artiodactyla; Balaenidae
Exons: 4
Source: RefSeq, a predicted model, not a curated record